UUAAAAGAAAAUCAUGAGAUUUACGUGUUUACGUGUUAUGUUGCAAGUUGUGUUUAUGUCAUUACGCAUAUAUACACAUGAAAGUGUACACAUACACAAUGACAUAAACCUAAUUUGUAUCAUAACACGUAAACACAUAAACACAUGAAAAUUGUGUCAU
RNAcentral lists this microRNA precursor (160 nucleotides) under Arabidopsis halleri. Lineage: Eukaryota; Viridiplantae; Streptophyta; Magnoliopsida; Brassicales; Brassicaceae. The record is from RNAcentral.